RNAcentral lists this ribosomal RNA (253 nucleotides) under uncultured bacterium. RNAcentral describes it as "partial 16S ribosomal RNA". It matches the Rfam family "Bacterial small subunit ribosomal RNA", at positions 524 to 776 of the family's 1533-position model. The record is from RNAcentral.
UACGAAGGGGGCUAGCGUUGCUCGGAAUCACUGGGCGUAAAGCGCACGUAGGCGGAUUGCUAAGUCAGGGGUGAAAUCCUGGAGCUCAACUCCAGAACUGCCUUUGAUACUGGCGAUCUCGAGUCCGGGAGAGGUGAGUGGAACUGCGAGUGUAGAGGUGAAAUUCGUAGAUAUUCGCAAGAACACCAGUGGCGAAGGCGGCUCACUGGCCCGGUACUGACGCUGAGGCACGAAAGCGUGGGGAGCAAACAAG